Long non-coding RNA from Acipenser ruthenus (sterlet), 959 nucleotides. RefSeq lists it as uncharacterized. The transcript is spliced from 4 exons. The record is from RefSeq and is a predicted model, not a curated record. NCBI's taxonomy places the organism in Eukaryota, Metazoa, Chordata, Actinopteri, Acipenseriformes, Acipenseridae.
UUUCUCAGAGCAAUGCCUCCCAGAAAGCGUAGGAAGUGUACUUCGGUCACUGUGAAAAAUCAUGCAGAAAAAGCUCAUGCUACAUCAGCAACCCCUGCUGCUUGUUCAGAAAGCGACACUGCUUCCCCACUGCCACAGGCAUGCCCUCCUUCCUCCAGCACAGUCGCUGUGUCACUUCAGCAUCCACCUGUAUCACUGGCUGUGCCUCGCCCAGCUGUAAUACCCGACAGCAUGGCUACACCACAAGUAUUUGCUGAAGUCGAGAGCCUUCUCCCUCUUUCUUUCAACAAGAGAAAGAAAAGGAGAAGCCUGCGAUUUAGGUGUGGGCAUCGGCAAGUUGGCAGUAAGGAUGAUUCCUUUUGACAGGAUCGCAGUUUUGGAGGGCUCGAUCACAACCAAAGAUGUUGCCAUUGGAAAGCUUCAUGAAUUUAACAAUUCAACUUGGCUGACCGCAACACCUCCCCGCCUCCUCAGGAGGGAUGAGACAAAACAUGCGCCCUCCGAUACGAGCACUGUCAAAGCCAUAUGUUAUUUAUCGCACUACAAGCCCAGAGCUCCCACCCCCUAGCGAACACAUCGUUUGGAGGAGUCGAUGCAGCUAGAAAUGCUAACGCCCUGAACCUGCAGGCGCCAGGUCAAUUGUGCGCCACCCUCUCAGAACUUCUGGCCAAAGCUGGCAAUGGCAUAGGCAGGAUUCGAGACAAGUCUGUCUCUUGCCUAUAGUGCUGCAACUUAUGUUUUUGUUUUAAUCACUAUUUUUACAUAAUGCAUACCUCUCAACAAGGUUGUUCGUUUCACUGUCUUGGUGGUAAACUCUCCGUCCAAAAUUGGCCCACAUGUCUACAUUUCGAAACCAAUGGUCCUGUAGAUACUGUGAAAUUACUGAACUGCCAGUUUCUCUGUCUGUUUUGACAAUCACUUCCUUUGACAUCUUUUCAAACUCGGCAGCCUAAAAUGAA